This is a non-coding RNA of Naganishia friedmannii, 88 nucleotides long. The record is from the annotation of a GenBank genome assembly. NCBI's taxonomy places the organism in Eukaryota, Fungi, Basidiomycota, Tremellomycetes, Filobasidiales, Filobasidiaceae.
GGUCGGUUAGCUUAGUUGGUAGAGCAUACGCCUAAUACACAUCAUGUAGUAUAGCGUAAGGUCGACGGUUCGAUCCCGCCAUUGAUCA